Molecule: ribosomal RNA, 1758 nt
Filed under: marine metagenome
Description: bacterial LSU rRNA
Rfam family: Archaeal large subunit ribosomal RNA
Source: RNAcentral
GAAGGUGGGCUUAGAAGCAGCCACCCUUGAAAGAGUUCGUAACAGAUCACUGGUCAAGCUUGCGGGCCCGGAAAAUGGACGGGGCUCAAACUGGUCACCGAUACACUGAUCCUUCGAAAGAAGAUGAGGUAGCGCGGCGAUGUGCUCGGGUAGAAGCGAGGUUGUGAGAUCUCGUGGACCGUGUACAUAUGAGAAUCUAGGGAAGAGUAGCAGCAUAGUGCGGUGAGAAUCCGCACCACCGAAAGGGUAAGGGUUCCUCGGCAAUGUUUUUCAGCCGAGGGUUAGCCGGUCCUAAGGUCAAUCUUAACCGACUUGAUCGAAAGGGAAUUGCGUUAAUAUUCGUAAGCCUCUCUGCAAUAAUGGUAACGGCUAAGGCUAGUUCGUGCACUUCAGUCAUGGAGUGUCGAAGCGUUCGAUAAUCGUGUGGAGAACCGUCAUGGUGAGAAACACGAGAAGGCGUGAGUGAAAGACGGAUGAGGCCUUGGUCCCAUGAAAAACCGCAGAAGAUGACCGUACCGAGAACUGACACAGGUACCCAAGGUGAGUAGCCUAAGGUGUGACGGGUAAAGUACCGCGAAGGAACUCGGCAAAAUAGCCCCGUAACUUCGGGAGAAGGGGUGCCAGCUCUGAAGAGAGCUGGUCGCAGUGACAAGAGGACUCCGACUGUUUAAUAAAAACAUAGGCGACUGCUAGAUCGAAAGGUUGUGUAUAGUCGCUGAAUCCUGCUCAGUGCCGGUAUCUGAAAUCGGGGUUCAACCUGACGAAGGACCGGUAAACAGCGGGGGUAACUAUGACCCUCUUAAGGUAGCGUAAUACCUUGUCGCUUAAUUGGCGACUUGCAUGAAUGGCACAACGAGAGUCCCACUGUCUCCGCGGUACGUCCGGCGAAAUUGACUAUUACUGGCGCACAGUCCAGUAACCUCAACCUGCAAGCGAAGACCCCGUAGAGCUUUACUGCAGCCUGGCGUUGUACAUUCGCACACUUUGUGCUGAGUAGACGGGAGAUGUUGAUCCUCGGGACGUUAGUCCCGGGAGUAGUCGUCCAUAGAGACACCGUCCUUAAUGUGUGACUGUACUAACUCUUCAUGAGAACACCGCUUGGUGGGCAGUUUGGGUGGGGCGCCACGCGCCCGAAAACCUAACAGGCGUGCCCAAAGGUCAGCUUAGGUGGUUCAGUCUCCACCGUAAACCGUAAGGGGAAAAGCUGGCUUGACGUGGAUCGGAUCAAUAACGAUCGACGAUGCGAAAGCAGGGCCUAACGAACCAAUGUGCCUCAUUUCUGGGGGCCAUUGAUAACAGAAAAGUUACCUCGGGGAUAAUUGAGUUGUCACCAGCAAGAGCACAUAUCGACCUGGUGGCUUGCUACUUCGAUGUCGUCUCUUCCCAACCUCCCGGUGCAGCAGCUGGGAAGGGUGGGGUUGUUCGCCCAUUAAAAGGGAUCGUGAGAUGGGUUUAGACCGUCGUGAGACAGGUUUGUUGCUUUGUGGUUGAGGCGUAUCAGGUGCCUGAUCGGAAGGGCCCUUUAGUACGAGAGGAACGAGGACUCGGAGCCACUAGUUUACCAGUUGUCCGGCAGGGCAAUGCUGGGUAGCCACGCUCCAUGUGGAUAAGAGCUGAAAGCAUCUAAGCUCGAAGUCACCCGAAAGACGAGGCAUCUCAGGGGACUCGUAGAAGACGAGUUUGAUAGACAGCGGGUGUAAGCACCGAGGUUCGCCGAGGUGUUCAGCCCAGCUGCACUAACCCCCCGAGCAUCCAAUU